RNAcentral lists this ribosomal RNA (497 nucleotides) under uncultured bacterium. RNAcentral describes it as "partial 16S ribosomal RNA". It matches the Rfam family "Bacterial small subunit ribosomal RNA", at positions 28 to 507 of the family's 1533-position model. The record is from RNAcentral.
GAUGAACGCUGGCGGCGUGCCUAAUACAUGCAAGUCGAGCGAACAGACGAGGAGCUUGCUCCUCUGACGUUAGCGGCGGACGGGUGAGUAACACGUGGAUAACCUACCUAUAAGACUGGGAUAACUUCGGGAAACCGGAGCUAAUACCGGAUAAUAUAUUCAACCGCAUGGUUCAAUAGUGAAAGACGGUUUUGCUGUCACUUAUAGCUGGAUCCGCGCCGCAUUAGCUAGUUGGUAAGGUAACGGCUUACCAAGGCAACGAUGCGUAGCCGACCUGAGAGGGUGAUCGGCCACACUGGAACUGAGACACGGUCCAGACUCCUACGGGAGGCAGCAGUAGGGAAUCUUCCGCAAUGGGCGAAAGCCUGACGGAGCAACGCCGCGUGAGUGAUGAAGGUCUUCGGAUCGUAAAACUCUGUUAUUAGGGAAGAACAAAUGUGUAAGUAACUAUGCACGUCUUGACGGUACCUAAUCAGAAAGCCACGGCUAACUACGUG